UAAUUUUAGUUACGUGUCUUCCUCCAAAUUGUUAGUAGACACGUAGUAUCUCUAUCAUUGAGAUUUAUCUUCCAAAAUUUAUUUCUAUCUAUCUCUUCUCUCUUGCUAUGUCAAUAAGAUGAGAACUGUUCUACUAUUUGAGCUGAUGCGAGCUCAAAUUUGAAAACAGUGAAGCCACUGGAAGAGUAAUUAUUGCAAAACAAUUGACCGGUUGAUGAUCUUAUUCAGUUGAUGGAGGGCGAUAAUACUGGAUCAAUUAACAUUGAAAAUCCAGUACUCAUUUGGAUGGCCCCGUUACUCCAGCUUCCAUAAGACUCUUUCACCUAAAGGUGUCAACUAUGAAGGUUCAGAGGUACAAGAUACAGAUUAUCCUCAGUAGUUCAGUCUCCAUCAGUAGCAAUAGCAUGAGUCCUCUUCUUUCAUGGAUGAAUCUCAGCUUACUAUUAUUGUUUCAGAUUUUGUUUAUUUCAGUUGACGGAGUUAGUUGGGGACAUGUCCCAUCAACUCCAUAGUUCAGACAGUUUAGAGGCUUUUCAGAUGGAUGUAUUAGUAUUUAGUUUUUAGUUUUGAGUAUGUAUAGAUGUGUUGAACCUUAUGGCAUGUUUCCGCAUUUAUUUUAGAUA
Capsicum annuum is the source of this 623-nucleotide long non-coding RNA. RefSeq lists it as uncharacterized. NCBI's taxonomy places the organism in Eukaryota, Viridiplantae, Streptophyta, Magnoliopsida, Solanales, Solanaceae. The transcript is spliced from 5 exons. The record is from RefSeq and is a predicted model, not a curated record.